AUGCGCGACAUGCUGAUCUAUGGUCUCCAUCUCCGCGCCUCCGCCUCCACUGAGCUUCUCGCCUACAUGGAUGCGAACUGGGCUGGCUGUCCUGACACUUGCCGAUCCACGUCGGGCUACUGUGUCUUCUUCGGCGACUCGCUUGUCUCAUGGUCCUCUAGGCGACAUCCCACCGUCUCCCGCUCGAGUGCCGAGGCCGAGUACUGCGCUGUCGCCAACGCAGUCGCUGAGACCUUUUGGCCGCGUCACCUUCUUGGUGAACUUCGGGUCUCCACCCCGAAGGCUACGAUGAUUUUCUGUGAUAAUGUUUUGGCCACCUAUCUCGCGGCCAAUCCGGUGCAACAUAGACACACCAAACAUAUUGAACUCGAUGUUCACUUCGCCCGUGAGAAGGUUCAGCCGAGUCAGCUUCGUGUUCUUCACGUACCGACUACCCAACAGUUCCCGACAUUAUGA
This 456-nucleotide ribosomal RNA is filed under the name Triticum aestivum (bread wheat). RNAcentral describes it as "partial small subunit ribosomal RNA". Lineage: Eukaryota; Viridiplantae; Streptophyta; Magnoliopsida; Poales; Poaceae. The record is from RNAcentral.